AUGAUGCUUCCAAAGUUUUGGACUCAAUCCGAUAUCGAUUGGUCCUUGAAAUCGGACAAUUCAAGUUUCUACAAAAUUCGUUCUGAAAUGGGGUGGUUGCUGUAUUGUAUAGUUCUAGAGAUUGGAUUUCACUCAAAACCCUCCAAAUGACUCCUCCCAGAAUAUUAUGAUGUUCCCCAUGUUUUGGACUCAAUCCGAUAUCGAUUAGUCCUUGAAAUCGGACAAUUCAGGUUCGUACGAAGUUCGUUCUGAAAUGGGGUGGUUGGUGUAUUGUAUAGUUCUAGAGAUUGGAUUUCACUCAAAUCCAAGGAAAUGGCUCCUCCCACAAUAUUAGGAUGUUCCCCAAGUUUUGGACUCAAUCCGAUAUCGAUUAGUCCUUGAAAUCGGACAAUUCAGGUUCGUACGAAGUUCGUUCUGAAAUGGGGUGGUUGGUGUAUUGUAUAGUUCUAGAGAUUGGAUUUCACUCAAAUCCCUCCAAAUGACUCCUCCCAGAAUAUUAUGAUGUUCCCCAAGUUUGGACUCAAUCCGAUAUCGAUUGGUCCUUGAAAAUCGGACAAUUCAAAGUUUCUACAAAAUUCGUUCUGAAAUGGGGUGGUUGGU
This 600-nucleotide long non-coding RNA is filed under the name Prunus persica (peach). Its description in RNAcentral is "long non-coding RNA (PPER_LNC008708)". The record is from RNAcentral. Lineage: Eukaryota; Viridiplantae; Streptophyta; Magnoliopsida; Rosales; Rosaceae.